This 650-nucleotide ribosomal RNA is filed under the name Pediococcus pentosaceus. RNAcentral's name for it is "bacterial SSU rRNA". It matches the Rfam family "Bacterial small subunit ribosomal RNA", at positions 362 to 1003 of the family's 1533-position model. The record is from RNAcentral. Lineage: Bacteria; Bacillati; Bacillota; Bacilli; Lactobacillales; Lactobacillaceae.
UCUUCCACAAUGGACGCAAGUCUGAUGGAGCAACGCCGCGUGAGUGAAGAAGGGUUUCGGCUCGUAAAGCUCUGUUGUUAAAGAAGAACGUGGGUAAGAGUAACUGUUUACCCAGUGACGGUAUUUAACCAGAAAGCCACGGCUAACUACGUGCCAGCAGCCGCGGUAAUACGUAGGUGGCAAGCGUUAUCCGGAUUUAUUGGGCGUAAAGCGAGCGCAGGCGGUCUUUUAAGUCUAAUGUGAAAGCCUUCGGCUCAACCGAAGAAGUGCAUUGGAAACUGGGAGACUUGAGUGCAGAAGAGGACAGUGGAACUCCAUGUGUAGCGGUGAAAUGCGUAGAUAUAUGGAAGAACACCAGUGGCGAAGGCGGCUGUCUGGUCUGCAACUGACGCUGAGGCUCGAAAGCAUGGGUAGCGAACAGGAUUAGAUACCCUGGUAGUCCAUGCCGUAAACGAUGAUUACUAAGUGUUGGAGGGUUUCCGCCCUUCAGUGCUGCAGCUAACGCAUUAAGUAAUCCGCCUGGGGAGUACGACCGCAAGGUUGAAACUCAAAAGAAUUGACGGGGGCCCGCACAAGCGGUGGAGCAUGUGGUUUAAUUCGAAGCUACGCGAAGAACCUUACCAGGUCUUGACAUCUUCUGACAGUCUAUG